CAACACAGAUGACUUUCCAGAACUCUAAGUUAAUGCAAGCAAGCAACGAAAAAAGUAUUAGCCUAUAACCGUGAAUAACAAAGGUAAAAUUCAAAAUUCCACCUUUUUCACUACUUGAAAUCAAAUCAGCACAAAAGCAUCGUCAAGACUAUAAAGUGACUUUUAAAGCUCAAAAGGAUUAUCAAUUAGAAAGUGACAAAGUUGUGUUGCAAAAGAUUUUUUCAGAGUUGUCACUUAACAUUUAAUUUCGGUGUACCAAGUUACCAUUUAAA
This 272-nucleotide long non-coding RNA is filed under the name Nicotiana benthamiana. RNAcentral describes it as "long non-coding RNA (NBEN_LNC001601)". Lineage: Eukaryota; Viridiplantae; Streptophyta; Magnoliopsida; Solanales; Solanaceae. The record is from RNAcentral.